UUCUUCGUGAUAAAAGUAACAGUAAAAAA
RNAcentral lists this small RNA (29 nucleotides) under Bombyx mori (domestic silkworm). RNAcentral describes it as "ovarian small RNA-37568". Lineage: Eukaryota; Metazoa; Arthropoda; Insecta; Lepidoptera; Bombycidae. The record is from RNAcentral.